UACAGAGGGUGCGAGCGUUGUCCGGAAUUACUGGGCGUAAAGCGUGCGUAGGUGGUGAGUUAAGUCUGUCGUGAAAGCCCCGGGCUCAACCUGGGAAUGGCGAUGGAUACUGGCUCGCUAGAGUGCGGUAGAGGAGAGUGGAAUUCCCGGUGUAGCAGUGAAAUGCGUAGAGAUCGGGAGGAACAUCAGUUGCGAAGGCGGCUCUCUGGACCAGCACUGACACUGAGGCACGAAAGCGUGGGGAGCAAACAGG
This 253-nucleotide ribosomal RNA is filed under the name uncultured bacterium. RNAcentral describes it as "partial 16S ribosomal RNA". It matches the Rfam family "Bacterial small subunit ribosomal RNA", at positions 524 to 776 of the family's 1533-position model. The record is from RNAcentral.